Zalophus californianus (California sea lion) is the source of this 347-nucleotide long non-coding RNA. RefSeq lists it as uncharacterized. The transcript has 3 exons. NCBI's taxonomy places the organism in Eukaryota, Metazoa, Chordata, Mammalia, Carnivora, Otariidae. The record is from RefSeq and is a predicted model, not a curated record.
UGGGGCACCAGCCUUCCCAAGUGGUAGCCUUCACAGGAGGGAGGGGUGGGGGUAAGGGGUAAAAAGACCACAAGACCGUUAAAAAAAAUCAGGUAACUAAUUAGACACAGAUAAACUGUAAACAGUUCUCUCUCCCCAGUGGACAAAAAGAAUAAGCUUCUGAUGCUGACUCCACACCAGAACGAUUUCUACAGCUUGCCUGUCGCGCUGUCGUACAAGGGCUGAUGUGGUGGGUGGGUAGACCCCGAUGCAGUCAUCACAGGCCUGGGCUGGAGUCUGUCUGCUUGUAUCAGGGGUGUGUGUGUGUGUGUGUGUGUGUGUGUGUGUGUGUGUGUGUGGAGUCUGCU